UGCGGAAUUUCUACGAAAGUGGGAAGUGCCUUCGGGAGCCGCAAGACAGGUGCUGCGUGGCUGUCGUCAGCUCGUGUCGUGAGAUGUUGGGUUAAGUCCCGCAACGAGCGCAACCCUUAUCUUUAGUUACCAUCAUUCAGUUGGGGACUCUAAAGACACUGCCCCGGUCAACGGGGAGGAAGGUGGGGAUGACGUCAAGUCCUCAUGGCCCUUAUGUCCAGGGCUACACACGUGCUACAAUGGGCAGUACAAAGGGCAGCGAGCCUGCGAAGGUGAGCCAAUCCCAAAAAGCUGUUCGUAGUUCGGAUUGGAGUCUGCAACUCGACUCCAUGAAGCUGGAAUCGCUAGUAAUCGCGGAUCAGCAUGCCCGCGGUCCGAAUACGUUCCGGGCCUU
This 394-nucleotide ribosomal RNA is filed under the name uncultured Desulfobacterium sp. RNAcentral's name for it is "bacterial SSU rRNA". It matches the Rfam family "Bacterial small subunit ribosomal RNA", at positions 989 to 1382 of the family's 1533-position model. The record is from RNAcentral. Lineage: Bacteria; Pseudomonadati; Thermodesulfobacteriota; Desulfobacteria; Desulfobacterales; Desulfobacteriaceae.